UGCAGUCGAGCGGUAGAGAGAAGCUUGCUUCUCUUGAGAGCGGCGGACGGGUGAGUAAUGCCUAGGAAUCUGCCUGGUAGUGGGGGAUAACGUUCGGAAACGGACGCUAAUACCGCAUACGUCCUACGGGAGAAAGCAGGGGACCUUCGGGCCUUGCGCUAUCAGAUGAGCCUAGGUCGGAUUAGCUAGUUGGUGGGGUAAUGGCUCACCAAGGCGACGAUCCGUAACUGGUCUGAGAGGAUGAUCAGUCACACUGGAACUGAGACACGGUCCAGACUCCUACGGGAGGCAGCAGUGGGGAAUAUUGGACAAUGGGCGAAAGCCUGAUCCAGCCAUGCCGCGUGUGUGAAGAAGGUCUUCGGAUUGUAAAGCACUUUAAGUUGGGAGGAAGGGUUGUAGAUUAAUACUCUGCAAUUUUGACGUUACCGACAGAAUAAGCACCGGCUAACUCUGUGCCAGCAGCCGCGGUAAUACAGAGGGUGCAAGCGUUAAUCGGAAUUACUGGGCGUAAAGCGCGCGUAGGUGGUUAGUUAAGUUGGAUGUGAAAUCCCCGGGCUCAACCUGGGAACUGCAUUCAAAACUGACUGACUAGAGUAUGGUAGAGGGUGGGUGGAAUUUCCUGUGUAGCGGUGAAAUGCGUAGAUAUAGGAAGGAACACCAGUGGCGAAGGCGACCACCUGGACUGAUACUGACACUGAGGUGCGAAAGCGUGGGGAGCAAACAGGAUUAGAUACCCUGGUAGUCCACGCCGUAAACGAUGUCAACUAGCCGUUGGGAGCCUUGAGCUCUUAGUGGCGCAGCUAACGCAUUAAGUUGACCGCCCGGGGGAGUACGGCCGCAAGGUUAAAACUCAAAUGAAUUUGACGGGGGGCCCGCACAAGCGGUGGAAGCAUGUGGUUUUAAUUCGAAGCAACGCGGAAGAACCUUACCAGGGCCUUGACAUCCAAUGAACUUUUCUAGAAGAUAGAUUGGGUGCCCUUCGGGGAACAUUGAAGACA
RNAcentral lists this ribosomal RNA (998 nucleotides) under Pseudomonas sp. NCCP-1777. Its description in RNAcentral is "bacterial SSU rRNA". It matches the Rfam family "Bacterial small subunit ribosomal RNA", at positions 56 to 1036 of the family's 1533-position model. The record is from RNAcentral. Lineage: Bacteria; Pseudomonadati; Pseudomonadota; Gammaproteobacteria; Pseudomonadales; Pseudomonadaceae.